GCAUAUCAAUAAGCGGAGGAAAAGAAACCAACAGGGAUUGCCUCAGUAACGGCGAGUGAAGCGGCAACAGCUCAAAUUUGAAAUCUGGCUCACGCCCGAGUUGUAAUUUGUAGAGGAUGUUUCGGGUGAAGCCGCGGUCCAAGUCCCUUGGAACAGGACGUCAUAGAGGGUGAGAACCCCGUACCUGGCCGCCGGUGCCCCCCGCUGUGAAACUCCUUCGACGAGUCGAGUUGUUUGGGAAUGCAGCUCUAAAUUGGUGGUAAAUUCCAUCUAAAGCUAAAUACCGGCCAGAGACCGAUAGCGCACAAGUAGAGUGAUCGAAAGAUGAAAAGCACUUUGAAAAGAGAGUUAAAAAGUACGUGAAAUUGUUGAAAGGGAAGCGCUUGCGGCCAGACUUGCCUGCAGUUGCUCAGCCCGCCUUUUGGCGGGUGCACUCUUCUGCAGUCAGGCCAGCAUCGGUUUGGGCGGUCGGAUAAAGGCGUUGGGAACGUGGCCUCCCCUCGGGGAGGUGUUAUAGCCCGGCGCGCAAUGCGACCAGCCCGGACCGAGGUUCGCGCUUUGCUAGGAUGCUGGCGUAAUGGCCGUAAGCGGCCCGUCUUGAAACACGGACCAAGGAGUCUAACAUCUAUGCGAGUGUUUGGGUGUCAAACCCGUGCGCGUAAUGAAAGUGAACGGAGGUGGGAACCGCAAGGUGCACCAUCGACCGAUCCUGAUGUCUUCGGAAGGAUUUGAGUAAGAGCAUAGCUGUUGGGACCCGAAAGAUGGUGAACUAUGCGUGAAUAGGGUGAAGCCAGAGGAAACUCUGGUGGAGGCUCGCAGCGGUUCUGACGUGCAAAUCGAUCGUCAAAUUUGCGUAUAGGGGGCGAAAGACUAAUCGAACCAUUUAGUAGCUGGUUCCUGCCGA
RNAcentral lists this ribosomal RNA (904 nucleotides) under Magnohelicospora fuscospora. Its description in RNAcentral is "LSU rRNA". It matches the Rfam family "Eukaryotic large subunit ribosomal RNA", at positions 38 to 964 of the family's 3401-position model. The record is from RNAcentral. Lineage: Eukaryota; Fungi; Ascomycota; Dothideomycetes; Venturiales; Venturiaceae.